This 413-nucleotide ribosomal RNA is filed under the name uncultured bacterium. RNAcentral describes it as "bacterial SSU rRNA". It matches the Rfam family "Bacterial small subunit ribosomal RNA", at positions 28 to 423 of the family's 1533-position model. The record is from RNAcentral.
GAUGAACGCUGGCGGCGUGCUUAACACAUGCAAGUCGAGCGAAGCGCUAAAGCGGAUUUCUUCGGAUUGAAGUUUUAGUGACUGAGCGGCGGACGGGUGAGUAACGCGUGGGUAACCUGCCUCAUACAGGGGGAUAACAGUUGGAAACGGCUGCUAAUACCGCAUAAGCGCACAGUACCGCAUGGUACGGUGUGAAAAACUCCGGUGGUAUGAGAUGGACCCGCGUCUGAUUAGGUAGUUGGUGGGGUAACGGCCUACCAAGCCGACGAUCAGUAGCCGACCUGAGAGGGUGACCGGCCACAUUGGGACUGAGACACGGCCCAAACUCCUACGGGAGGCAGCAGUGGGGAAUAUUGCACAAUGGGGGAAACCCUGAUGCAGCGACGCCGCGUGAGCGAAGAAGUAUUUCGGUA